RNAcentral lists this ribosomal RNA (465 nucleotides) under Vreelandella stevensii. Its description in RNAcentral is "partial 16S ribosomal RNA". It matches the Rfam family "Bacterial small subunit ribosomal RNA", at positions 338 to 795 of the family's 1533-position model. Lineage: Bacteria; Pseudomonadati; Pseudomonadota; Gammaproteobacteria; Oceanospirillales; Halomonadaceae. The record is from RNAcentral.
CCUACGGGCGGCUGCAGUGGGGAAUAUUGGACAAUGGGCGAAAGCCUGAUCCAGCCAUGCCGCGUGUGUGAAGAAGGCCUUCGGGUUGUAAAGCACUUUCAGUGGGGAAGAAAGCCUUGGGGCUAAUACCCUCGAGGAAGGACAUCACCCACAGAAGAAGCACCGGCUAACUCCGUGCCAGCAGCCGCGGUAAUACGGAGGGUGCGAGCGUUAAUCGGAAUUACUGGGCGUAAAGCGCGCGUAGGCGGUCUGAUAAGCCGGUUGUGAAAGCCCUGGGCUCAACCUGGGAACGGCAUCCGGAACUGUCAGGCUAGAGUGCAGGAGAGGAAGGUAGAAUUCCCGGUGUAGCGGUGAAAUGCGUAGAGAUCGGGAGGAAUACCAGUGGCGAAGGCGGCCUUCUGGACUGACACUGACGCUGAGGUGCGAAAGCGUGGGUAGCAAACAGGAUUAGAUACCCUGGUAGUC